MicroRNA precursor from Cephalotus follicularis, 125 nucleotides. It matches the Rfam family "mir-393 microRNA precursor family". Lineage: Eukaryota; Viridiplantae; Streptophyta; Magnoliopsida; Oxalidales; Cephalotaceae. The record is from Rfam.
GGUGGAAAGUUCCAAAGGGAUCGCAUUGAUCUGAUGUUCAUCGAUGCCUGAAUGACUUCAUGGUCCGUUUUAUAAAUUAAUUCAGCUUGUUCAUUAGAUCAUGCGAUCCCUUAGGAUGUUUCCAU